AUGGAUAGGGUCCCCUUGCCCGCGUGAAAGUCUCAUUCCUCCUCAGCUCAGAAACACUCCAAGGUGCGGGGACUCGUGGAAGGAUUUGAUUCGCGCUUGAGAAAGAUCGCUCCGCUCCUGUAAGGAAGAGAGCGUGUAGGGGCUGCAACCAGAGACACAGUCAGAAGCUCCGAGGCUACCGCGAUGGUCCAGGUGAGAAUGGAGGGGCCU
This 210-nucleotide long non-coding RNA is filed under the name Homo sapiens (human). RNAcentral's name for it is "non-protein coding BOLA3-AS1:13". The record is from RNAcentral. Lineage: Eukaryota; Metazoa; Chordata; Mammalia; Primates; Hominidae.